UACAGAGGGUGCGAGCGUUAAUCGGAAUUACUGGGCGUAAAGCGCGCGUAGGCGGCUUUGCAAGUCGGGUGUGAAAUCCCCAGGCUUAACCUGGGAACUGCAUUCGAGACUGCAUCGCUAGAGUAUCGGAGAGGGAAGUGGAACUUCAGGUGUAGCGGUGAAAUGCGUAGAUAUCUGAAGGAACAUCAGUGGCGAAAGCGACUUCCUGGACGAAUACUGACGCUCAUGUGCGAAAGCGUGGGGAGCAAACAGG
RNAcentral lists this ribosomal RNA (253 nucleotides) under uncultured bacterium. Its description in RNAcentral is "partial 16S ribosomal RNA". It matches the Rfam family "Bacterial small subunit ribosomal RNA", at positions 524 to 776 of the family's 1533-position model. The record is from RNAcentral.